UGGAGGGCAAGUCUGGUGCCAGCAGCCGCGGUAAUUCCAGCUCCAAUAGCGUAUAUUAAAGUUGUUGCAGUUAAAAAGCUCGUAGUUGAAUUUCGGGGUCAGUAGAUUGGUCGUGCCACUGGUAUGUACUGGUCUUACUGGCUCCUCCUUCCUGAUGAACCGUAAUGCCAUUAAUUUGGUGUUGCGGGGAGACUGGACUGUUACUUUGGAAAAAUUAGAGUGUUUAAAGCAGGCUAACGCUUGAAUACAUUAGCAUGGAAUAAUGAAAUAGGACGUUCGAUCUUAUUUUGUUGGUUUCUAGGAUUGACGUAAUGAUUAAUAGGGAUAGUUGGGGGCAUUAGUAUUCAAUUGUCAGAGGUGAAAUUCUUGGAUUUAUUGAAGACUAACUACUGCGAAAGCAUUUGCCAAGGAUGUUUUCAUUAAUCAAGAACGAAAGUUAGGGGAUCGAAGACGAUCAGAUACCGUCGUAGUCUUAACCAUAAACUAUGCCGACUAGGGAUCGGAUGAUGUUAAUUUUUUAAUGACUCAUUCGGCGCCUUACGGGAAACCAAAGUGUUUGGGUUC
This 564-nucleotide ribosomal RNA is filed under the name uncultured Glomeromycotina. RNAcentral describes it as "SSU rRNA". It matches the Rfam family "Eukaryotic small subunit ribosomal RNA", at positions 549 to 1114 of the family's 1831-position model. Lineage: Eukaryota; Fungi; Glomeromycota. The record is from RNAcentral.